AGUGAACGCUGGCGGUAGGCCUAACACAUGCAAGUCGAACGGCAGCACAGGAGAGCUUGCUCUCUAGGUGGCGAGUGGCGGACGGGUGAGGAAUACAUCGGAAUCUGCCCAGUCGUGGGGGAUAACGUAGGGAAACUUACGCUAAUACCGCAUACGACCUUCGGGUGAAAGAGGGGGAUCGCAAGACCUCUCGCGAUUGGAUGAGCCGAUGUCGGAUUAGCUAGUUAGCGGGGUAAUGGCCCACCAAGGCGACGAUCCGUAGCUGGUCUGAGAGGAUGAUCAGCCACACUGGAACUGAGACACGGUCCAGACUCCUAAGGGAGGCAGCAGUGGGGAAUAUUGGACAAUGGGCGCAAGCCUGAUCCAGCCAUACCGCGUGGGUGAAGAAGGCCUUCGGGUUGUAAAGCCCUUUUGUUGGGAAAGAAAUCUUUCAGGCUAAUACCCUGGGAGGAUGACGGUACCCAAAGAAUAAGCACCGGCUAACUUCGUG
Molecule: ribosomal RNA, 490 nt
Filed under: uncultured bacterium
Lineage: Bacteria
Description: partial 16S ribosomal RNA
Rfam family: Bacterial small subunit ribosomal RNA
Source: RNAcentral